GGACAGGUGAGAUACAGACAGGUAACAUGGGACAGGUGUGACAUGGACAGGUGUGACAGGGCCAGGGCAGCAUCUGCUGGGUGGUCACCUCCUGGCCACACACCUCUGAGAGCACCUGGACAGGUGAGAUACAGGUGAGAUACAGGUGUGAUAGAUACAGGUGUGACAGGUA
This is a long non-coding RNA of Catharus ustulatus (Swainson's thrush), 172 nucleotides long. RefSeq lists it as uncharacterized. The transcript has 3 exons. Lineage: Eukaryota; Metazoa; Chordata; Aves; Passeriformes; Turdidae. The record is from RefSeq and is a predicted model, not a curated record.